AGUGACGGUACCUGAGGAAUAAGCAUCGGCUAACUCCGUGCCAGCAGCCGCGGUAAUACGGAGGAUGCAAGCGUUAUCCGGAAUGAUUGGGCGUAAAGGGUCCGCAGGUGGCAUUGUAAGUCUGCUGUUAAAGAGUCACGCUCAACGUGAUAAAAGCAGUGGAAACUACAAAGCUAGAGUAUGGUCGGGGCAGAGGGAAUUCCUGGUGUAGCGGUGAAAUGCGUAGAUAUCAGGAAGAACAUCGGUGGCGAAGGCGCUCUGCUAGGCCAAAACUGACACUGAGGGACGAAAGCUAGGGGAGCGAAUGGGAUUAGAUACC
This 319-nucleotide ribosomal RNA is filed under the name Aphanizomenon gracile ANA196-A. RNAcentral describes it as "bacterial SSU rRNA". It matches the Rfam family "Bacterial small subunit ribosomal RNA", at positions 468 to 786 of the family's 1533-position model. The record is from RNAcentral. Lineage: Bacteria; Bacillati; Cyanobacteriota; Cyanophyceae; Nostocales; Aphanizomenonaceae.